AGAGUUUGAUUAUGGCUCAGAUUGAACGCUGGCGGCAGGCCUAACACAUGCAAGUCGAGCGGCAGCGGGAAAGUAGCUUGCUACUUUUGCCGGCGAGCGGCGGACGGGUGAGUAAUGCCUGGGGAUCUGCCCAGUCGAGGGGGAUAACAGUUGGAAACGGCUGCUAAUACCGCAUACGCCCUACGGGGGAAAGCAGGGGACCUUCGGGCCUUGCGCGAUUGGAUGAACCCAGGUGGGAUUAGCUAGUUGGUGGGGUAAUGGCUCACCAAGGCGACGAUCCCUAGCUGGUCUGAGAGGAUGAUCAGCCACACUGGAACUGAGACACGGUCCAGACUCCUACGGGAGGCAGCAGUGGGGAAUAUUGCACAAUGGGGGAAACCCUGAUGCAGCCAUGCCGCGUGUAUGAAGAAGGCCUUCGGGUUGUAAAGUACUUUCAGCGGGGAGGAAGGCAUUGUGGUUAAUAACCGCAGUGAUUGACGUUACCCGCAGAAGAAGCACCGGCUAACUCCGUGCCAGCAGCCGCGGUAA
Molecule: ribosomal RNA, 528 nt
Filed under: uncultured Gammaproteobacteria bacterium
Lineage: Bacteria; Pseudomonadati; Pseudomonadota; Gammaproteobacteria
Description: bacterial SSU rRNA
Rfam family: Bacterial small subunit ribosomal RNA
Source: RNAcentral